Molecule: non-coding RNA, 45 nt
Filed under: Schistosoma mattheei
Lineage: Eukaryota; Metazoa; Platyhelminthes; Trematoda; Strigeidida; Schistosomatidae
Source: RNAcentral
AUUAAGCCGAUGAGUCCAAAAUAGGACGAAACUCGCGUUCUGAAU